RNAcentral lists this ribosomal RNA (253 nucleotides) under uncultured bacterium. RNAcentral's name for it is "partial 16S ribosomal RNA". It matches the Rfam family "Bacterial small subunit ribosomal RNA", at positions 524 to 776 of the family's 1533-position model. The record is from RNAcentral.
UACGUAGGGUGCAAGCGUUAUUCGGAAUUACUGGGCGUAAAGCGUGCGUAGGCGGUUCGUUAAGUCUGAUGUGAAAGCCCUGGGCUCAACCUGGGAAUGGCAUUGGAAACUGGCGACCUAGAGUGCGGUAGAGGGUAGUGGAAUUCCCGGUGUAGCAGUGAAAUGCGUAGAGAUCGGGAGGAACAUCCGUGGCGAAGGCGACUCCCUGGACCAGCACUGACGCUGAGGCACGAAAGCGUGGGGAGCAAACAGG